UACAGAGGUCUCAAGCGUUGUUCGGAUUCAUUGGGCGUAAAGGGUGCGUAGGCGGCGCGGUAAGUCGGGUGUGAAAUCUUGGAGCUUAACUCCGAAACUGCAUUCGAUACUGCCGUGCUUGAGGACUGGAGAGGAGACUGGAAUUUACGGUGUAGCGGUGAAAUGCGUAGAUAUCGUAAGGAAGACCAGUGGCGAAGGCGGGUCUCUGGACAGUCCUGACGCUGAGGCACGAAGGUCAGGGGAGCAAACGGG
Molecule: ribosomal RNA, 252 nt
Filed under: uncultured bacterium
Lineage: Bacteria
Description: partial 16S ribosomal RNA
Rfam family: Bacterial small subunit ribosomal RNA
Source: RNAcentral